Oreochromis aureus is the source of this 841-nucleotide long non-coding RNA. RefSeq lists it as uncharacterized. Lineage: Eukaryota; Metazoa; Chordata; Actinopteri; Cichliformes; Cichlidae. The record is from RefSeq and is a predicted model, not a curated record. The transcript is spliced from 3 exons.
CAGUGAUUAGCUGAGGUGCGGCUUAGCACUACCGAUUAGCUCUAACUUUAAACACUGGGACACUUGUCAGUCCAAGUAGCCGCGACCCUAAAUCCAGAAUCCAAAUGGAUGAAUCAGUUGUUGUGAAGGACACUAUCCACACAGGCUGAACCACAAGGCAGGCUGGAUCCAUGCUUUCAUGUUGUUUGUGCCAAAUGACUCCAUCCGAAUGUUCAUCAUACCAGGCAGGUCACAACCUGCUUAUUGUCCAAUUUUGUAUCCCACUCCACCAGAAACACACACUCUGCCGUGGAGCCAAGUCCAGCAAACAGACCUGCGGGGUUUAUGACCAGCAUCCACCCAACCUGCGAAGAAGUUCACACGUAAAUCCACCGAAUGUCAGACACCACAAAGCGAUCGCAGACUGUGGCUCUGUAAACAAUGUGAGGGAAUGGCAUGAGCAUUUUGCCCUGUGCAGUCUGCCAUGGAGGAAUUUUCUCAACCAAGAUGCGACAGUGAUUGUUAUGCAUGACCACGAACGCCCUAAGUGCAACAAUCUGCUCGGCAUCUCUUAAGUAACAAGCAGCAACUUCUCUUGUUUCAUCUUUCUGCCUCUUUCCUCCUGCUUCUACCUGCCUUUUUUGCAGUCACACAUUCCACUUCUCUUACACACUUUUCUUAUCAGGUUAUCUGCCUUUUUUUUUUUUUUUUUUUAAAUGUCAAACGGUCCCAGUUGCCACUGUUGCCCUGCAUCCUCCUCUUGGCUCUGUGUUCCUGCUAAUUAUCCAAAGCUGAAUUCUUGGACUGUACAUUGCUACAUGUGGGGUUCUGAAAUAGAACUUUACACAUGACCUUCAAGCUG